RNAcentral lists this small RNA (598 nucleotides) under Pan troglodytes (chimpanzee). RNAcentral describes it as "processed transcript". Lineage: Eukaryota; Metazoa; Chordata; Mammalia; Primates; Hominidae. The record is from RNAcentral.
GGAGGAGCAAACCAGAGAACCUACUGGGUGGAAUUCUUGCUGUUGAGGGGACAGGCCCAAGAGGCCUGGCCCACCAUUGGUUAUUACCAGAGUGAAUUGGAGUGGUAUAUAUUUGCGCUGAAGAGAGCAGGAAUAAAACUGGUUUAUUAGCCGGGCGCCGUGACUCACGCCUGUAAUCCCAGCACUUUGGGAGGCUGAGGCGAGCGGAUCACCUGAGCAUGGACUCAGGAGACCUGGACAUUGGCAAAGAACAAGUUUGCCAAGUGCCUCAUGACCUGUCUCAAAUGCUGCUUCUGGUGCCUGGAGAAGUUCAUCAAAUUCCUCAAUAGGAAUGCCUACAUCAUGAUUGCCAUCUACGGCACCAAUUUCUGCACCUCGGCCAGGAAUGCCUUCUUCCUGCUCAUGAGAAACAUCAUCAGAGUGGCUGUCCUGGAUAAAGUUACUGACUUCCUCUUCCUGUUGGGCAAACUUCUGAUCGUUGGUAGUGUGGGGAUCCUGGCUUUCUUCUUCUUCACCCACCGUAUCAGGAUCGUGCAGGAUACAGCACCACCCCUCAAUUAUUACUGGGUUCCUAUACUGACGGUGAUCGUUGGCUCCU